UUUAAAUGAUUGUGAUUAUUAAUAUCCUAAUUAGAUUAUAUUUUAUUUGUAAAUUGUUGGAGUGAUGUUAGAUAUAUUAUGGUUUUAUAAAAUUAGUAUGUAAAGGUGUUUUAUGUGUAUUUUGGACAUUAUUUAAAAAUAAAAAAGAUGAUCGAUGCCAGGUUAUCCAUGCAUUUACCAGUCUAAGGUUCGAUUCCCUACAUAAUAAUAAUUGGAGUUGGUACCGUUUAAAAAUCCAUGGAACUAUGUAAUGGGUGUGAAUGUUUCCAACGUGAAUAAUACAAUACAUAUUAUAACAUAUUUGAUUAAUAAAUAAAAAAAUGAAAUAAUUUUUUUUUAUAUAGUCUAUCAUUAUUCUACAAAAAUCAAAUAAAUUCAAUUGCACCGUUUCGACUAUCCUGUCUCUUUCCACCAAAACGUAAAGACAAUUUGAUAGUAAGAGACAGAAGAGAGAAAGAGAAGAAUGCAAUAAGAAUGUUUUAGUUUUUAUAGUAUGUGUAGGGUUUACUUUUAUAAUAUGAUUAUAAGAAGCUAUAUAUUGUCACCGAAGAGAUGUAUGCAACUCUAGACAUAAACAAAAAAGACCUUUUUAAAUAUAUUUUUCUUUGUUAUUAUCUUGUAAAUAAUGGAAAUGUUUUGUUAUAUUAAAAUUUACUGUUUA
Molecule: long non-coding RNA, 661 nt
Organism: Pieris napi
Lineage: Eukaryota; Metazoa; Arthropoda; Insecta; Lepidoptera; Pieridae
Exons: 2
Source: RefSeq, a predicted model, not a curated record